This 387-nucleotide ribosomal RNA is filed under the name uncultured bacterium. RNAcentral describes it as "bacterial SSU rRNA". It matches the Rfam family "Bacterial small subunit ribosomal RNA", at positions 30 to 417 of the family's 1533-position model. The record is from RNAcentral.
AUUGAACGCUGGCGGCAUGCUUUACACAUGCAAGUCGAACGGUAACAGGGAGCUUGCUCCGCUGACGAGUGGCGAACGGGUGAGUAAUGCAUCGGAACAUGCCCAGUCAUGGGGGAUAACUACGCGAAAGCGUAGCUAAUACCGCAUACGCCCUGAGGGGGAAAGUGGGGGGUCUUAGGACCUCACGUGAUUGGAGUGGCCGAUGUCAGAUUAGCUAGUUGGUGAGGUAAAGGCUCACCAAGGCGACGAUCUGUAGCGGGUCUGAGAGGAUGAUCCGCCACACUGGGACUGAGACACGGCCCAGACUCCUACGGGAGGCAGCAGUGGGGAAUUUUGGACAAUGGGCGCAAGCCUGAUCCAGCCAUGCCGCGUGAGUGAAGAAGGCCU